AACGAACGCUGGCGGCAUCCCUAACACAUGCAAGUCGAACGCCCUCUUCGGAGGGAGUGGCGCACGGGUGCGUAACGCGUGGGAACCUGCCCUUAGGUUCGGAAUAACUCAGAGAAAUUUGAGCUAAUACCGGAUAAUGUCUUCGGACCAAAGAUUUAUCGCCUUUGGAUGGGCCCGCGUUGGAUUAGCUAGUUGGUGGGGUAAAGGCCUACCAAGGCGACGAUCCAUAGCUGGUCUGAGAGGAUGAUCAGCCACACUGGGACUGAGACACGGCCCAGACUCCUACGGGAGGCAGCAGUGGGGAAUAUUGGACAAUGGGCGAAAGCCUGAUCCAGCAAUGCCGCGUGAGUGAUGAAGGCCUUAGGGUUGUAAAGCUCUUUUACUGGGGAUGAUAAUGACAGUACCCAGAGAAUAAGCUCCGGCUAACUCCGUGCCAGCAGCCGCGUAAU
Molecule: ribosomal RNA, 449 nt
Filed under: uncultured bacterium
Lineage: Bacteria
Description: bacterial SSU rRNA
Rfam family: Bacterial small subunit ribosomal RNA
Source: RNAcentral